RNAcentral lists this ribosomal RNA (253 nucleotides) under uncultured bacterium. Its description in RNAcentral is "partial 16S ribosomal RNA". It matches the Rfam family "Bacterial small subunit ribosomal RNA", at positions 524 to 776 of the family's 1533-position model. The record is from RNAcentral.
UACGAAGGUGGCUAGCGUUGUUCGGAAUUACUGGGCGUCAAGCGCGCGCAGGCGGUUUUGUAAGACAGAUGUGCAAUCCCCGGGCUUAACCUGGGAACUGCAUUUGUGACUGCAAGACUAGAGUGCGGCAGAGGGGGGUAGAAUUCCACGUGUAGCAGUGAAAUGCGUAGAUAUGUGGAGGAAUACCGAUGGCGAAGGCAGCCCCCUGGGUCGACACUGACGCUCAUGCACGAAAGCGUGGGGAGCAAACAGG